GAAACAUUAAAAAUAAAUAUAAUUAUGUUUAAAUAAACCAUUAAAAUUAUACAAAAUAAUCUCCACGGCAACUGUAGUGGAGAGAGAAAAAAUAGGAAUCAUUAAAUUAGACACAAAUAAUCUCCACGGCAACUGUAGUGGAGAGAGAAAAAAUCUAAAGACUUAGAAAAAUAGAUAUAAUUAUUUUAAUGAGAAUAGUUUUUUAAAUAAAUCAUUAAAUCAUAUAUAUCAAUCUCCACGGCAACUGUAGUGGAGAGGAAAAAAUAGGAAGGAAACAUAAUUAAAUGACUGGGCCUGUACCUGGAAUGUCCAGCAGGGGCCGCUCCACAGCAACUGCAGUGGAGAAAACAGUACAUGAAGAAGUGGCAAUUCACUGGGUUAGCCGCUACCCACAUGGAAAACGGGAAGCAAUGCUCCUGCACCUGGAAUCUCCAGCAGGAGUUGCUUCACUACAGCUGUGCGGCACCUUGUUUACCGCUUGGAUUUUGCAGUGCAGGAGCACUGUGGUUUUUGGUCCAGAUACGUAUUGUAUUUUGUUCCUGGGGUUUUGAAAAAUUUACAUUGUUCCCGCGGUUGGGAAAAUGUGAGUAGUUGUAUUUAUUUAAAGGUCCCCGAACCCUCGUUACUUCAGGCAGAAAAGGCCGAUAAUCACGCACCUCAGGGCUCCUAAACUAUGACCCGGGUCUGGGUCCACUGUCAGCCCGGAAAGACCGUAUAUCGGGUCUGGUCCAGUGGAACCGGGGCUCCCUCUCAAAAGACCUCAUCCAGAAUCGAGAUUCCUGUCUUUUAAGUUGAGUAUUAUAAUUAGGUCUAUGCUGAAACAUUUUUGAUUUUGAGGUACAAGUCUGUUGCAACGUUUCGGUUUUAUAAAAUAAACCUUAUUCAGGCACAGACUUGUACAAAAAAAAUGAGAAUUUGUUUUUGCAGUUAAAGGGACUUUCCUAUAUAGAAAAGAGGGAGAGAGCUUUUUAAGGGAAAAGUUUCAGGUCUGUCUCUUCCUGAAUAGGAAAAGUCAGAUAAAAUAAGUAGAACAAAAAGGGAAAACAGAAAAAAGGAAAAGAAUAUACACGUGGACAAAAUUGUUGGUACCCCUCGAUUAAUGAAAGAAAAACCCACAAUAGUAACAAGAAUAACUUUAAUUUGACAAAAGUAAUAAUAAAUAAAAAUUCUAUGAUAACGAACAAAUGAAAGUCAGAUAUUGCUUUUCAAACAUGCUUCAACAGAAUUAUUUAAAAAAAUAAACUCAUGAAAUAGUCCUCCCUCUUGUCACCUCAUUGGCCCCACUGGACCACAGCCAUCAUCCAACCAGGUGAUAGCCCAGUCAAGUGGGGGGCGUGUACUUUUUGUUUACAGUAGCAUAUAAGCAGCUGGUUUGAGCUUCCCAAACCACCUCUGAUCCUUGUCUUGCCAAGAUCAGCAACCUACUUGACCUUCUUGACCUUCUCUGCUCCAGUGACCAGCAAUCUUCUCGACUGAGAUGGCUUCUUCUGCUGCUUCUUCUUCUGCUGCUUCUUGCUUCUGCUGAGUAAGUACAAGUUUGUCUUUAAUUUACUGUAGUAAACUGUAUGGCCACUUUGACUUGGCUACAAGGAAAAUGCUAUGGGAACCAACAAAGCAUGUUAAUUUGAUGUUUAUACUUGUUUUUGGAUUACUUAAUGCUCAACAAUUCUAUGUAAAUUUAGCUUUACAGGGAUAAUAAAUAUGUAAAGAUAGCUGCUGAUUUUUAAGAAUAAAUACAUUGAUAACAGUACAGGUCUAUGGAUGUUACACAGUCAGAGGCUGGGAAAUAUCCACCAUAUGGUUGAUCUCCCAGCUUGAGAGAAUUUUCUGUACAUUUUGACUGAAAAUAUCUCAGCUUCUUUGCUAGCUACAGUAUAUUCACAAAGAUUUUUUUUAAAUGUUUUAAUUUUCUUCUUUAAAAUAUUUCCAUGAGUCAUGUGUUCUAAACCUGUGAAUUGCUCCCAGCGUGUGAAUGGGCUUAAUGAUGCUGUAAUAGGCCCGUUGUUAGACUAUGCUCAUUAAUGCUAAAAUAUCUGUCUUUCUAUUUUUUCUGUUUUUA
Molecule: long non-coding RNA, 2059 nt
Organism: Pygocentrus nattereri (red-bellied piranha)
Lineage: Eukaryota; Metazoa; Chordata; Actinopteri; Characiformes; Serrasalmidae
Source: Ensembl